Molecule: transfer RNA, 72 nt
Filed under: Camelus bactrianus (Bactrian camel)
Lineage: Eukaryota; Metazoa; Chordata; Mammalia; Artiodactyla; Camelidae
Also listed under: 2 other names
Rfam family: tRNA
About the family: Transfer RNA (tRNA) molecules are approximately 80 nucleotides in length. Their secondary structure includes four short double-helical elements and three loops (D, anti-codon, and T loops).
Source: Rfam by way of RNAcentral
GAGGGUAUAGCUCAGCGGUAGAGUGCGUGCUUAGCAUGCACAAGGUUGUGGGUUCAAUCCCCAGUACCUCCA